GGAAAUCUUGUCUGUUUUGGUCCAUCACCUAAAGUAGAAACUACCUAGCCCAGGAGCUGUUAUUCUGCGUUACACAGAAUGUUGACAAUAUCCUGGAGACACCAGAAUGUUUUUGAAGAUAGCGGCAAUUUUGGAAAACAGAGCUACUUCUCAUUCAUCCCCUUUUCUCUGAAAAUGGCACAUGUCAAAGAAACAACGCAGCGGUCCAGCCCAACUGGAAGACUGGUGCAGAAUGCCGUGUCCAAGGGGCUAACUGGCAUAGCCUGCUCAGAUGAGCAGUGACAAUGGAGUUCAGGGACUCGGAGGAACCUUGAGCCAAAGUGGUUAAACAGCAUUGACUUCCCACACCAUAAGGCCAGUGACCAAUAUGCAGAAAAGCGUCCGGAAUGUCCACCUCUGGUUCCCACUCCUGCCUCCCACCUCUGGUUCCCACUCCUGCCUCCCACCCCUGGUUCCCACUCCUGCCUCCCACCCCUGCCUCCCACCCCUGGUUCCCACUCCUGCAUUCCACUCACAGGAGGAAUUUAAUAGGAGCCUGAGACACCUGCAUCUGCCUGUGGGGAAUCUGCUCUAUGAGUGUGUUAAUGCUGAACCGACAAUAACAUCACAGCCAGUAGCAUCCCAGGUAAAAUUGGACGGAAAGGAAUAUUUAUUUAUGGCUGUACCAUUUUCAAUGUAUUUGAAGAUAAUGAGCUCCCAGUGGCUGGAAGAAUGUGGAUACUCUGUGGACCACAGAGGCACUGAUGUCAGUGUUGAAGAGCCAUGGUUAUCAGCAAGCCCUGGUGGAAUACUGAAAUCCAAGGAGUUGUUGAAGAUCAAGUGUCCUGUCAUGGGGUAGAGGCUGUGAUUUUCUGGAUGAUGUCUUCAAUAGGAAAGUGAUGUGAAGGUGAUGGAGGACUACACCUCGACUGCAACCACAUGGGCCACGUGGCUACAACAUGCAGGUACAAAUUGGUCUGUUUCGCACAGGACUGAGAGAAAGUAAGGUGUUCAUCUGGACUGCAUCCCAGCAAGUUGUCAUCCCUGUUCCCUAUGAUACACAGUCCUGUGCAGAGGCUGUCCUGAGGUUGAAGGCAUUCUACUCAACACACAUGCUGACAUUUAUUGUUGAGGAGCAUCAGGCAGAUUGUCACUGAGUGACAAAUAUAUAUAUGCAGC
Oncorhynchus tshawytscha (Chinook salmon) is the source of this 1158-nucleotide long non-coding RNA. The record is from Ensembl. Lineage: Eukaryota; Metazoa; Chordata; Actinopteri; Salmoniformes; Salmonidae.